Molecule: ribosomal RNA, 1445 nt
Filed under: uncultured organism
Description: SSU rRNA
Rfam family: Bacterial small subunit ribosomal RNA
Source: RNAcentral
UAGCGACAGGCUUAACACAUGCAAGUCGAGGGGCAGCACAGGUAGCAAUACCGGGUGGCGACCGGCGCACGGGUGAGUAACGCGUAUGCAACUUACCUAUCCGAGGGGGAUAACCCGGCGAAAGUCGGACUAAUACCGCAUGAAGCAGGGGUCCCGCAUGGGGAUAUUUGCUAAAGAUUCAUCGCUGAUAGAUAGGCAUGCGUUCCAUUAGGCAGUUGGCGGGGUAACGGCCCACCAAACCGACGAUGGAUAGGGGUUCUGAGAGGAAGGUCCCCCACAUUGGUACUGAGACACGGACCAAACUCCUACGGGAGGCAGCAGUGAGGAAUGUUGGUCAAUGGCCGAGAGGCUGAACCAGCCAAGUCGCGUGAGGGAUGAAGGUUCUAUGGAUCGUAAACCUCUUUUAUAAGGGAAUAAAGUGCGGGACGUGUCCCGUUUUGUAUGUACCUUAUGAAUAAGGAUCGGCUAACUCCGUGCCAGCAGCCGCGGUAAUACGGAGGAUCCGAGCGUUAUCCGGAUUUAUUGGGUUUAAAGGGUGCGUAGGCGGCCUUUUAAGUCAGCGGUGAAAGUCUGUGGCUCAACCAUAGAAUUGCCGUUGAAACUGGGGGGCUUGAGUAUGUUUGAGGCAGGCGGAAUGCGUGGUGUAGCGGUGAAAUGCAUAGAUAUCACGCAGAACCCCGAUUGCGAAGGCAGCCUGCCAAGCCAUUACUGACGCUGAUGCACGAAAGCGUGGGGAUCAAACAGGAUUAGAUACCCUGGUAGUCCACGCAGUAAACGAUGAUCACUAGCUGUUUGCGAUACACUGUAAGCGGCACAGCGAAAGCGUUAAGUGAUCCACCUGGGGAGUACGCCGGCAACGGUGAAACUCAAAGGAAUUGACGGAGGCCCGCACAAGCGGAGGAACAUGUGGUUUAAUUCGAUGAUACGCGAGGAACCUUACCCGGGUUUGAACGCAUUCGGACCGAGGUGGAAACACCUUUUCUAGCAAUAGCCGUUUGCGAGGUGCUGCAUGGUUGUCGUCAGCUCGUGCCGUGAGGUGUCGGCUUAAGCGCCAUAACGAGCGCAACCCUUGCCACUAGUUACUAACAGGUAAAGCUGAGGACUCUGGUGGGACUGCCAGCGUAAGCUGCGGGGAAGGCGGGGAUGACGUCAAAUCAGCACGGCCCUUACAUCCGGGGCGACACACGUGUUACAAUGGCGUGGACAAAGGGAAGCCACCUGGCGACAGGGAGCGAAUCCCCAAACCACGUCUCAGUUCGGAUCGGAGUCUGCAACCCGACUCCGUGAAGCUGGAUUCGCUAGUAAUCGCGCAUCAGCCAUGGCGCGGUGAAUACGUUCCCGGGCCUUGUACACACCGCCCGUCAAGCCAUGGGAGCCGGGGGUACCUGAAGUCCGUAACCGCGAGGAUCGGCCUAGGGUAAAACUGGUGACUGGGGCUAAGUCGU